Molecule: ribosomal RNA, 345 nt
Filed under: uncultured bacterium
Lineage: Bacteria
Description: bacterial SSU rRNA
Rfam family: Bacterial small subunit ribosomal RNA
Source: RNAcentral
AGGGUUUGAUCCUGGCUCAGGACGAACGCUGGCGGCGUGCCUAACACAUGCAAGUCGAGCGGGGACAUAUUUGGAAGGUCUUCGGAUUGGAAGGAUAUGUUCUAGCGGCGGACGGGUGAGUAACGCGUGAACAAUCUGUCCCAGACAGGGGGAUAACAGAUGGAAACAUCUGCUAAUACCGCAUAAGACCACGUCCUCACAUGAGGGAGAGGUAAAAGGAGCAAUCCGGUCUGGGGUGAGUUCGCGUCCGAUUAGCUAGUUGGUGAGGUAACGGCCCACCAAGGCGGCGAUCGGUAGCCGACCUGAGAGGGUGAUCGGCCACAUUGGAACUGAGAGACGGUCCAA